This 282-nucleotide unclassified non-coding RNA is filed under the name uncultured fungus. RNAcentral describes it as "partial contains small subunit ribosomal RNA, internal transcribed spacer 1, and 5.8S ribosomal RNA". The stretch from base 1 to 73 matches the Rfam family "Eukaryotic small subunit ribosomal RNA", at positions 1759 to 1831 of the family's 1831-position model. The record is from RNAcentral. Lineage: Eukaryota; Fungi.
UCAAACUUGGUCAUUUAGAGGAAGUAAAAGUCGUAACAAGGUUUCCGUAGGUGAACCUGCGGAAGGAUCAUUAAUGAAAACCAAGGAGCUGCUGCUGGCCUUUUCCGAGGCAUGUGCACGUUCCGUUCUUCAUUUCCACUCACACCUGUGCACUACGUUUGAAAGGCUUCGGCCUUUCCUUUCACACACAUUUUGAAAUCAUGGAACGAUGUUUGUAACAUAACAAAUGUAACAACUUUCAACAACGGAUCUCUUGGCUCUCGCAUCGAUGAAGAACGCAGC